RNAcentral lists this ribosomal RNA (460 nucleotides) under uncultured bacterium. Its description in RNAcentral is "SSU rRNA". It matches the Rfam family "Bacterial small subunit ribosomal RNA", at positions 26 to 518 of the family's 1533-position model. The record is from RNAcentral.
AGAGCGAACGCUGGCGGCAGGCCUAAUACAUGCAAGUCGAACGGACCCUUCGGGGUUAGUGGCGGACGGGUGAGUAACACGUGGGAACGUGCCCUUUGGUUCGGAACAACUCAGGGAAACUUGAGCUAAUACCGAAUGUGCCCCCAUCCUUAAACAAGAUGGGUGGGAAAGAUUUAUCGCCAUUGGAGCGGCCCGCGUCUGAUUAGCUAGUUGGUGAGGUAAAGGCUCACCAAGGCGACGAUCAGUAGCUGGUCUGAGAGGAUGAUCAGCCACACUGGGACUGAGACACGGCCCAGACUCCUACGGGAGGCAGCAGUAGGGAAUCUUGCGCAAUGGGCGAAAGCCUGACGCAGCCAUGCCGCGUGAAUGAUGAAGGUCUUAGGAUUGUAAAAUUCUUUCAGCGGGACGAUAAUGACGGUACCCGCAGAAGAAGCCCGGCUAACUUCGUGCCAGCAGCCGC